GAUGUAGAACGUAGCGAAAUGCGAUAAGUAAUGUGAAUUGCAGAAUUCAGUGAAUCAUCGAAUCUUUGAACGCACAUUGCGCCCGCCAGCACUCUGGCGGGCAUGCCUGUUCGAGCGUCAUUUCAACCAUCAAGCCCCCAGGGGCUUGUGCUGGGGCCCUGCGGCUGCCCGCAGGCCCUGAAAACCAGUGGCGGGCUCGCUAGUCACACCGAGCGCAGUAGCACAUCUCGCUCAGGGCGUGCGGCGGGCUCCUGCCGUGAAACCCCCCACUGUAACCCCAAAGGUUGACCUCGGAUCAGGUAGGAAUACCCGCUGAACUUAAGCAUAUCAAUAAGCGGAGGA
Molecule: unclassified non-coding RNA, 342 nt
Filed under: soil metagenome
Description: partial contains 5.8S ribosomal RNA, internal transcribed spacer 2, and large subunit ribosomal RNA
Rfam family: 5.8S ribosomal RNA (bases 1-120)
Source: RNAcentral